RNAcentral lists this ribosomal RNA (491 nucleotides) under uncultured bacterium. RNAcentral describes it as "partial 16S ribosomal RNA". It matches the Rfam family "Bacterial small subunit ribosomal RNA", at positions 29 to 506 of the family's 1533-position model. The record is from RNAcentral.
AGUGAACGCUGGCGGUAGGCCUAACACAUGCAAGUCGAACGGCAGCACAGUAAGAGCUUGCUCUUACGGGUGGCGAGUGGCGGACGGGUGAGGAAUACAUCGGAAUCUACUUUUUCGUGGGGGAUAACGUAGGGAAACUUACGCUAAUACCGCAUACGACCUACGGGUGAAAGCAGGGGAUCUUCGGACCUUGCGCGAUUGAAUGAGCCGAUGUCGAAUUAGCUAGUUGGCGGGGUAAAGGCCCACCAAGGCGACGAUCCGUAGCUGGUCUGAGAGGAUGAUCAGCCACACUGGAACUGAGACACGGUCCAGACUCCUACGGGAGGCAGCAGUGGGGAAUAUUGGACAAUGGGCGCAAGCCUGAUCCAGCCAUACCGCGUGGGUGAAGAAGGCCUUCGGGUUGUAAAGCCCUUUUGUUGGGAAAGAAAAGCAGCAGGUUAAUACCCCGCUGUUCUGACGGUACCCAAAGAAGAAGCACCGGCUAACUUCGU